AUUGAACGCUAGCGGGAUGCCUUACACAUGCAAGUCGAACGGCAGCACGGACUUCGGUCUGGUGGCGAGUGGCGAACGGGUGAGUAAUGUAUCGGAACGUGCCCAGUAGCGGGGGAUAACUACUCGAAAGAGUAGCUAAUACCGCAUACGCCCUACGGGGGAAAGGGGGGGAUCGCAAGACCUCUCACUAUUGGAGCGGCCGAUAUCGGAUUAGCUAGUUGGUGGGGUAAAGGCCCACCAAGGCGACGAUCCGUAGCUGGUUUGAGAGGACGACCGGCCACACUGGGACGGGGACACGGCCCAGACUCCUACGGGAGGCAGCAGUGGGGAAUUGUUCGGAAUGGGCGCAAGCCUGACGACGCAACGCCGCGUGGAGGAUGAAGGUCUUCGGAUUGUAAACUCCUGUUGCCCGGGACGAAACGCUCCGACCUAACACGUCGGAGCCUGACGGUACCGGGUGAGGAAGCCCCGGCUAACUCUGUGCCAGCCGCCGCCGUAA
RNAcentral lists this ribosomal RNA (499 nucleotides) under uncultured bacterium. RNAcentral's name for it is "partial 16S ribosomal RNA". It matches the Rfam family "Bacterial small subunit ribosomal RNA", at positions 29 to 523 of the family's 1533-position model. The record is from RNAcentral.